Non-coding RNA from Mycena rosella, 91 nucleotides. The record is from the annotation of a GenBank genome assembly. Lineage: Eukaryota; Fungi; Basidiomycota; Agaricomycetes; Agaricales; Mycenaceae.
GGCUCGGUCGCACGGUGUGCAUCUGCGUUAAAUUCACAUCUCAUUCUGUUGUUGACAGCAGACCCCGCCUGUUCGACUCAGGCCCGAGCCA